AAGUCGUAACAAGGUUUCCGUAGGUGAACCUGCGGAAGGAUCAUUACAAAACAAAAUCCAAACCACACCAAAUGUGCUCUAUAAAUGCUGAGAAGCUGUCUUUGUGUGUGAAUAUGUUACUGUCUGUGUGAGGAGAAAAAUUUAUUUUUUCCUCCUCGCACUCUCACACACACACACACACACAAUCCUUCUUUUCAGCAUUGUCUUUGUUUAUCAAUUUUUUCAUUAACUCCUUGUUUAACCAACAACGGAUUACAAUGUUAAAACUUGAAACAAAAAACAAAACAAAAUGACAACUUUUAACGGUGGAUCUCUUGGCUCGU
Molecule: unclassified non-coding RNA, 323 nt
Filed under: fungal sp.
Lineage: Eukaryota; Fungi
Description: partial internal transcribed spacer region
Rfam family: Eukaryotic small subunit ribosomal RNA (bases 1-46)
Source: RNAcentral